RNAcentral lists this ribosomal RNA (301 nucleotides) under uncultured bacterium. Its description in RNAcentral is "partial 16S ribosomal RNA". It matches the Rfam family "Bacterial small subunit ribosomal RNA", at positions 509 to 807 of the family's 1533-position model. The record is from RNAcentral.
CAGCAGCCGCGGUAAUACGAAGGGGGCUAGCGUUGCUCGGAAUCACUGGGCGUAAAGCGCACGUAGGCGGACUCUUAAGUCGGUGGUGAAAUCCUGGAGCUCAACUCCAGAACUGCCUUCGAUACUGGGAGUCUCGAGUUCGGGAGAGGUGAGUGGAACUGCGAGUGUAGAGGUGAAAUUCGUAGAUAUUCGCAAGAACACCAGUGGCGAAGGCGGCUCACUGGCCCGAUACUGACGCUGAGGUGCGAAAGCGUGGGGAGCAAACAGGAUUAGAUACCCCCGUAGUCCCUGUCUCUUAUAC